AAGACUAUACUUUCAGGAAUCAUUUCUAUAGUUCGUUACUAGACUUUCUAAAUGAAUUAUAUGCUGCUGU
Molecule: small nucleolar RNA, 70 nt
Filed under: Moschus moschiferus (Siberian musk deer)
Lineage: Eukaryota; Metazoa; Chordata; Mammalia; Artiodactyla; Moschidae
Description: Small nucleolar RNA U3 (ENSMMSG00000001362.1)
Rfam family: Small nucleolar RNA U3
About the family: Small nucleolar RNAs (snoRNAs) are involved in the processing and modification of rRNA in the nucleolus. There are two main classes of snoRNAs: the box C/D class, and the box H/ACA class. U3 snoRNA is a member of the box C/D class.
Source: RNAcentral